RNAcentral lists this ribosomal RNA (402 nucleotides) under Triticum aestivum (bread wheat). RNAcentral describes it as "partial small subunit ribosomal RNA". Lineage: Eukaryota; Viridiplantae; Streptophyta; Magnoliopsida; Poales; Poaceae. The record is from RNAcentral.
AUGACACGAGGCGGGGUAACGGAAGACCCGCAGUACGGAAUGACAACAGUGGAUCUCAACAAUCUUGCGUAUGCAGACGAACCAUUCGUCCUAGCCAAUGAUGUGGCACAGGUUUUCUAUGUGAAGGACAUGUCUACCAAGCCAAGAAAAAGAAAAGAUAAGGAAGCGAAUGCAUCGUACGAUGAGCCAAAGCGGCACAUAGUUCUUUCUGGGAAGAGAAACAUCGUGGGAGUGGAUGACAAGACAGACAAGUCAGAAGAUUAUGAAAAGUUUGAUGAAAUUGCUCCAUUCACAGUGAAGAUUGACCCGAGCAUCCCGUUAAAUGAUGAAGAUUUUCCAUGGUUACAGCGCAAAGGGACACACGCGAAGAAAAAGUUUCACACCCAAAGAUCUGGGAUGUGA